Molecule: ribosomal RNA, 500 nt
Filed under: uncultured bacterium
Lineage: Bacteria
Description: partial 16S ribosomal RNA
Rfam family: Bacterial small subunit ribosomal RNA
Source: RNAcentral
GUUGAACGCUGGCGGCAUGCCUUACACAUGCAAGUCGAACGGCAGCACGGGAGCAAUCCUGGUGGCGAGUGGCGAACGGGUGAGUAAAGUAUCGGAACGUGCCCAGUCGUGGGGGAUAACGUAGCGAAAGUUACGCUAAUACCGCAUACGAUCUAUGGAUGAAAGCGGGGGAUGGCAAGACCUCGCGCGAUUGGAGCGGCCGAUAUCAGAUUAGGUAGUUGGGUGGGUAAAGGCGAACCAAGCCGACGAUCUGUAGACGGUAUGAGAGGAGGAACAGACACACUGGGACUGAGACACGGCCCAGACUCCUACGGGAGGAAGCAGGGGUGAAUUUUGGACAAUGGGCGAAGGCCUGAUCCAGCCAUGCCGCGUGCAGGAUGAAGGCCUUCGGGUUGUAAACUGCUUUUGUACGGAACGAAAAGGUUUGGCCUAAUAAGCUGAGCUCAUGACGGUACCGUAAGAAUAAGCACCGGCUAACUACGUGCCAGCCGCCGCCGUAA